GGGGUUGUGGCUCAGUGGCAGAGGGCUUGCCUAGCACGUAGGAGGCCCUGGGUUCGAUCCUCAGCACUACA
Molecule: transfer RNA, 71 nt
Filed under: Marmota monax (woodchuck)
Lineage: Eukaryota; Metazoa; Chordata; Mammalia; Rodentia; Sciuridae
Description: tRNA.Ala
Rfam family: tRNA (bases 6-66)
About the family: Transfer RNA (tRNA) molecules are approximately 80 nucleotides in length. Their secondary structure includes four short double-helical elements and three loops (D, anti-codon, and T loops). Further hydrogen bonds mediate the characteristic L-shaped molecular structure. tRNAs have two regions of fundamental functional importance: the anti-codon, which is responsible for specific mRNA codon recognition, and the 3' end, to which the tRNAs corresponding amino acid is attached (by aminoacyl-tRNA synthetases). tRNAs cope with the degeneracy of the genetic code in two manners: having more than one tRNA (with a specific anti-codon) for a particular amino acid; and 'wobble' base-pairing, i.e. permitting non-standard base-pairing at the 3rd anti-codon position.
Source: RNAcentral